This 253-nucleotide ribosomal RNA is filed under the name uncultured bacterium. RNAcentral describes it as "partial 16S ribosomal RNA". It matches the Rfam family "Bacterial small subunit ribosomal RNA", at positions 524 to 776 of the family's 1533-position model. The record is from RNAcentral.
UACGAAGGGGGCUAGCGUUGUUCGGAUUUACUGGGCGUAAAGCGCACGUAGGCGGAUUGUUAAGUGAGGGGUGAAAUCCCGGAGCUCAACUCCGGAACUGCCUUUCAUACUGGCAAUCUAGAGUCCGGAAGAGGUGAGUGGAACUCCUAGUGUAGAGGUGGAAUUCGUAGAUAUUAGGAAGAACACCAGUGGCGAAGGCGGCUCACUGGUCCGGUACUGACGCUGAGGUGCGAAAGCGUGGGGAGCAAACAGG